UGUGUAGGUGGUCAUGUUAGUCAGAUGUGAAAUACCGAGGCUUAACCUCGGAACUGCAUUUGAUACUGCAUAACUAGAGUAUGUUAGGGGAAAGGGGAAUUCCAGGUGUAAGGGUGAAAUCUGCAGAUAUCUGGAGGAACACCAGUGGCGAAGGCGCCUUUCUGGAACAAUACUGACACUGAGACACGAAAGCUAGGGUAGGCAAACG
RNAcentral lists this ribosomal RNA (208 nucleotides) under uncultured bacterium. RNAcentral's name for it is "partial 16S ribosomal RNA". It matches the Rfam family "Bacterial small subunit ribosomal RNA", at positions 568 to 775 of the family's 1533-position model. The record is from RNAcentral.